Molecule: long non-coding RNA, 328 nt
Organism: Podarcis raffonei (Aeolian wall lizard)
Lineage: Eukaryota; Metazoa; Chordata; Lepidosauria; Squamata; Lacertidae
Exons: 2
Source: RefSeq, a predicted model, not a curated record
CGGAUGAAAUUGGACACAAACUCCUUCUCUGAAACACCAGGAAUAUAGAUGCAGCUUGUGUUCCAAAUAUUGUGGCUUGCAACUCAAAUAGGUACAACAUUACCAGGUAGUAAUAUUAAUAUAAUGGAUAUGUCAGGGUCUUCUGUGUGCAUGGAAAGGCUACUCCCCAUUUUCUUUCGAUGGCAGAGAAAGGUCAACACAAGCCUAUUUCAUAGGAAGAACACUCCCAGAAAUAGGAGAAGAUGGUAUGGGCAUAUCUGUGUGUGCACCACAGACUAAACAUGCUUUGUGAAUAAAGUCUUGUAAAUAUCCAAGAUCUUAAUCUUAA